AACGAACGCUGGCGGCAUGCCUAACACAUGCAAGUCGAACGAGACAUUCGGGUCUGGUGGCGCACGGGUGCGUAACGCGUGGGAUUAUACCCUCAGGUUCGGCAUCUCUCAGAGAAAUUUGAGCUAAUACCGGAUGAUGACGUAAGUCAAAAGAUUUAUCGCCUGAGGAUGAGCCCGCGUAGGAUUAGGUAGUUGGUGAGGUAAAGGCUCACCAAGCCGACGUUCCUUAGCUGGUCUGAGAGGAUGAUCAGCCACACUGGGACUGAGACACGGCCCAGACUCCUACGGGAGGCAGCAGUGGGGAAUAUAGGACAAUGGGCGAAGGCCUGAUCCAGCAAGGCCGCGUGAGUGAUGAAGGCCGUAGGGUAGUAAUGCUCGUUUACCCGGGAUGAUAAUGACGGUACCGGGAGAAUAAGCUCCGGCUAACUCCGUG
RNAcentral lists this ribosomal RNA (433 nucleotides) under uncultured bacterium. RNAcentral describes it as "partial 16S ribosomal RNA". It matches the Rfam family "Bacterial small subunit ribosomal RNA", at positions 29 to 507 of the family's 1533-position model. The record is from RNAcentral.